Molecule: transfer RNA, 76 nt
Filed under: Clostridia bacterium
Lineage: Bacteria; Bacillati; Bacillota; Clostridia
Also listed under: 1 other name
Description: tRNA-Lys
Rfam family: tRNA
About the family: Transfer RNA (tRNA) molecules are approximately 80 nucleotides in length. Their secondary structure includes four short double-helical elements and three loops (D, anti-codon, and T loops).
Source: RNAcentral
GGGCCAUUAGCUCAGUUGGCAGAGCACUUGACUUUUAAUCAAGUUGUCCGGGGUUCGAAUCUCCGAUGGCUCACCA